GUAUUAACUGCACCUUUGCGGUGCCACAGCAACGACACGUAUAUUUCUUGGACGAGCUGUCCAGUUUGUUUCAAGGCGGGAAUGAGUUUGUGCUGCUUGUUGGAGAUCAGCUAAUAGAGAGGUUCACAGACAACAACAACAUGACAUGACCCGACCAGCUCUGCAAGAAGUCAUGCACUCACUUUAGGAGUAUAUAUAAACGUGCUGCAGCUAUAUCAAAUUCUUGUUUUUAUUUUAGGAUGCCAAGAAUAUAUACUUCUAUUAAAAAUAUACAUCUAUAAUAUAAAAAUAUGCAUCCGAUUUCGUA
Molecule: long non-coding RNA, 307 nt
Organism: Manduca sexta (tobacco hornworm)
Lineage: Eukaryota; Metazoa; Arthropoda; Insecta; Lepidoptera; Sphingidae
Exons: 2
Source: RefSeq, a predicted model, not a curated record